UUAGGGUUUUGUGUCGAACGCCUCAAUGCUUCCUCCAAGUCUCGUUGGGCUCUAGUCUCGUCGUCCUCGUCCUGAAUCUCGGUUUGGUGUGAAGAAGCACCACUAGUCACGGGCUCUCGUUGUCCCACAUUUUGCUCCUGUCGUCCCACCUCCUCAACUCGUUGUCGUGGUCUUCCUCGUCAGAAAUAACUCGUCGUGUAACAAAUUCUUAUAAAUUACAUUGAAUACGUAAUCUGAUAUCAGGAAAUACCUUUGUGCAAUUUGUAACAUCAUUCCCAACUCCAACUAGAUGUUCCUUGAACCGUGUCACCCCUCCACUUCGCAUUUUCUUCUCACAAAAACCAUAAACUAUUCCAGUCUCAUUACCUGGCUCAACAAAUCCGUACUCCCACCCAAUGUCCCUUUUAGCCAUUGUCCUAAGCUCCUACUAAUAUAAAAAUUUAUACAAGUAUAAAUGUAAGACAACAUUAAAUUUAAAAAAAACAAAUUUUAUUCAUAGUGUUGUUAAGAAGUACAACAAUUUGCAAAUACGGCUAUUACACAAAGAUCAUCAAGACAAGACAAACCAUAUUAUUAAUUUGUUACGAAUUACUAA
RNAcentral lists this long non-coding RNA (595 nucleotides) under Aquilegia coerulea. RNAcentral describes it as "long non-coding RNA (ACOE_LNC000041)". Lineage: Eukaryota; Viridiplantae; Streptophyta; Magnoliopsida; Ranunculales; Ranunculaceae. The record is from RNAcentral.